RNAcentral lists this ribosomal RNA (939 nucleotides) under human gut metagenome. RNAcentral's name for it is "bacterial SSU rRNA". It matches the Rfam family "Bacterial small subunit ribosomal RNA", at positions 376 to 1317 of the family's 1533-position model. The record is from RNAcentral.
CGAGAGGCUGAACCAGCCAAGUCGCGUGAGGGAUGAAGGUUCUAUGGAUCGUAAACCUCUUUUAUAAGGGAAUAAAGUGCGGGACGUGUCCCGUUUUGUAUGUACCUUAUGAAUAAGGAUCGGCUAACUCCGUGCCAGCAGCCGCGGUAAUACGGAGGAUCCGAGCGUUAUCCGGAUUUAUUGGGUUUAAAGGGUGCGUAGGCGGCCUUUUAAGUCAGCGGUGAAAGUCUGUGGCUCAACCAUAGAAUUGCCGUUGAAACUGGGGGGCUUGAGUAUGUUUGAGGCAGGCGGAAUGCGUGGUGUAGCGGUGAAAUGCAUAGAUAUCACGCAGAACCCCGAUUGCGAAGGCAGCCUGCCAAGCCAUGACUGACGCUGAUGCACGAAAGCGUGGGGAUCAAACAGGAUUAGAUACCCUGGUAGUCCACGCAGUAAACGAUGAUCACUAGCUGUUUGCGAUACACUGUAAGCGGCACAGCGAAAGCGUUAAGUGAUCCACCUGGGGAGUACGCCGGCAACGGUGAAACUCAAAGGAAUUGACGGGGGCCCGCACAAGCGGAGGAACAUGUGGUUUAAUUCGAUGAUACGCGAGGAACCUUACCCGGGUUUGAACGCAUUCGGACCGAGGUGGAAACACCUUUUCUAGCAAUAGCCGUUUGCGAGGUGCUGCAUGGUUGUCGUCAGCUCGUGCCGUGAGGUGUCGGCUUAAGUGCCAUAACGAGCGCAACCCUUGCCACUAGUUACUAACAGGUGAUGCUGAGGACUCUGGUGGGACUGCCAGCGUAAGCUGCGAGGAAGGCGGGGAUGACGUCAAAUCAGCACGGCCCUUACAUCCGGGGCGACACACGUGUUACAAUGGCGUGGACAAAGGGAGGCCACCUGGCGACAGGGAGCGAAUCCCCAAACCACGUCUCAGUUCGGAUCGGAGUCUGCAACCCGACU